GCGGAGCGGUUGUUGGUUUAAUUCGAUGCUACACGAAGAACUUACCAGGUUUGACAUGCAAGUAGGUAGGAACCGAAAGGUGACGACCCUUCGGGAGCUUGCACAGGUGCUGCACGGCUGUCGUCAGCUCGUGUCGUGAGAUGUUCGGUUAAGUCCGCUAACGAGCGCAACCCUCGCUGUGUGUUAUAUGUGUCACACGGGACUGCCGGUCUUAAGCCGGAGGAAGGUGGGGAUGACGUCAAGUCAGCAUGGCCUUUAUAUCCUGGGCUACACACACGCUACAAUGGCCAGCACAGUAGGUUGCUAAGCCGCGAGGUGGAGCCAAUCCAUAAAGCUGGUCUCAGUUCAGAUUGUAGGCUGCAACCCGCCUGCAUGAAGAUGGAGUUGCUAGUAACCGCAGGUCAGCUAUACUGCGGUGAAUACGUUCCCGGGGCUU
Molecule: ribosomal RNA, 436 nt
Filed under: uncultured Leptolinea sp.
Lineage: Bacteria; Bacillati; Chloroflexota; Anaerolineae; Anaerolineales; Anaerolineaceae
Description: bacterial SSU rRNA
Rfam family: Bacterial small subunit ribosomal RNA
Source: RNAcentral